This 254-nucleotide ribosomal RNA is filed under the name uncultured bacterium. RNAcentral's name for it is "partial 16S ribosomal RNA". It matches the Rfam family "Bacterial small subunit ribosomal RNA", at positions 524 to 776 of the family's 1533-position model. The record is from RNAcentral.
UACGGAAGGGGCUAGCGUUGCUCGGAAUUACUGGGCGUAAAGAGCUCGUAGGCGGUUUGUCGCGUCGGCUGUGGAAAUCCUGGGGCUUAACUCCGGGCCUGCAGUCGAUACGGGCAGACUUGAGUGUGGUAGGGGAGACUGGAAUUCCUGGUGUAGCGGUGAAAUGCGCAGAUAUCAGGAGGAACACCGGUGGCGAAGGCGGGUCUCUGGGCCAUUACUGACGCUGAGGAGCGAAAGCGUGGGGAGCGAACAGG